AGAAUGCUGUACUAUAUAAUAAUCAUAUCAAAUAUUUUUGAUAUAUAAAAUAUUUCAAAAAUCAUUUGUUUUCCUCAUUUUGUUAACAGGUUGUCAUUUUCCAGACAUACACAAAUAACAGCAGUGUUCCUAUUGAGGCAAAAUAUGUCUUCCCUCUAGAAGAGACAGCAGCAGUGUGUGGUUUUGAAGCCUUCAUUAAUGGAAAGCAUGUUAUUGGAAAGGUAAAGGAGAAGGAGCAGGCGCGUAAAGAAUACAAGCAAGCUAUAGAGAAAGGCCAUGGAGCCUACCUGAUGGACCAGGAUGCACCUGAUGUGUUCACCAUCAGUGUGGGAAACCUGCCCCCUGGAGCCACAGUGCUGAUCAAAGUGACGUUCAUCACUGAGCUGGUUGUGAGAGCAGGCACCAUCAUCUUCUCCCUGCCAGGCAGUGUGGCUCCAUGGCAGCAAAGCUCAGCACUGAACCAGAGAACCCAGACCACUGUUGAAAAGGUCUGUGUGAACGAGCUUCAGCCAGAGGGGAACAGGAACAGCCUGACUCUGGUUUUACUGUCAUCCCUAAGAUAAUUGCAGAGAGGAUGUGGAUAUUCUGUCCUACAUGGGAUGGACCAAAGAGAAGCAUAACCUGUUCAGUCCCCACAGUUUAUGGUUUGUGUCACAUGUUUAAUUUAUUUCCUAAUUCUGUAGCACUAUGUCCUCCUAGUUCUUUUGACUUAUAUGAAACUUCUCUUUUUGUAACUUCUGUAUUAUUUCCCCAGAUGAAUCACACACAUUUGAUUUAAUAUGCCUCCAUGUAUGCCUUGAAUUCUCAGGUCAGUUUUGAUCUUAGAUAAUAGAGGACUGAUUGCUAUUGCAUAAAGUGCUGCACUUAAACGGCAGUUUAAACGGCGGUCCAUUAACAUUAAUUUGAACUUCAUGUUUUUGAAAGUGUCAGUGCAGUAUGACCAUGGAUUGCACUUUUCCAGAGAAAAGCGCAAUUUCCUUGGGUAAUUGCAGAUAAUACUUAUUCCUCUAAAUACAACUUUUCAAGUAGUCACUGAUUAGGCCCUAGACACUGAUUAACAUCUUUAACCACUGAUUGGCUUAUGUGCAUUUGUUCAAAAGGUAGAAAUGUUAGUAGGACAAAAAAAAAACAAAAAACAGGCUAGCUAACUAGCUACCUUUAGCAGUACCCUGGAACACAUAGAUUUUGUAAUUGUGACUUUUCAAGUAGGAAUUAGGGCCAUCUCACAAGCAUAUGUGCGUAUGUUAUGUCUGUUGAUAUACAGUUGCAUCCGGCAAUGUCAGUUUACCUAAUCUAAUCUCACUUCUCUCCACAGGAUGAUGAAGAAUUAUUUGACAACGUAGAAAACAGAUUUGGCAGUUAUAGAAAAUAUUAAUAUAGUGGAAGUGAUCCACCUGAAUCAUUUCAGAGCAGUGAUGCGGACAUGGGUUUUGGUUGCUGCGAUGGCUUUGAUAGAUCACUUUUAAAGGCUGCUGAAACGCUCUAUCUUGAAAAUGUGACUGUUCCUGAAGCACUUCCCCACAGUGCUUCCACAGAUAUGGACGAACAUACACUCUCAUCUCCUCCACGUCUACAGAGACUAAUUGCACAGUCAAGACGCUUGGCUCGAUACAGUGCAAGGCGUUCAGAAGCUGAAACUUUAAUUCAGCCCCAGCUUAAGGCAGGAUGGAAGUCUCCUCGUCUUCAAAGGAAAUUUUCCCUCCUUCAAAAACCAACAUCUCCCAAUUGUUCUUCUCAAAACAUGAUGGAAGAAGACAGUGUCCUAUAUGACACUCUCUUUUCAGCCUAAAAUGUCUGCAGAUAAUUUUGGUCUAGUUUGUGGUCUAGUUCCUCCCCAUAGAUUUUUUCUUUCCUCAUCGGCUUUUGAUGGCUUUGAUCUUAAUACAAUGAGAAGUGUUUCCAUUCAAUCUACCCAGACCAUUCCUCCUCCUCUUCCUGCUCCUUCUCCUCCUAGUGUUGGUUUAUGCUCUGGAGCCCCUACUCCUCCUGUUGUUGCAGAUCCUCCUCCCUCCCCUCCUUUGCCUAAAAUAAAAUUAGCUGCCAGUGGUAUUAAAGUCAAGGAGGCUUUUCUCCCUCCCCCUAUUGUUCAACACAUUAAUCGUCCUCUUCCUUCGAGUUCUGCUUCUUUUGGAACCCCUGUUCUUCCCAUUGUUAUGGAUACUCCUUCUUCUGGUCCGUCUCCCAAAGGAAGCUCUCUAUGCACUAAGACACUAAAAGAGGAAGUAGGCACCCCUCUCUCUCUCCCUAGUGUUGGUUUUGGAGCCCUUACUCCUUCUCCUCAUACUGUAAACCCAGAUAAGUUGAUUGUACUUAAACCAUGUGAGGCAAGUUAUCGACAGUAGAACAAAUUAAUUUGUGUAAAAGGCAUACACUUAAAACCAUAUUUGUACUGCAAUAACUGGGAUAGGAAAAUUCCAAAUUCAUGCAAAUUCAGUUUGCUUUUAAUUUUUUAAAUGACCACAUAAUGCAGUACAUUUUAUUAAAUUUUACUGAAAACACGCAACAAAGCAACAAAUAUCUUUGACAGUGAUGCUCUUCGUGAACUACCACAUGUAAAACCAUUUUUCCAAAAUAAAACAGUAUUUACUUUAAACAGUAAGAACUGGUUUUCAUAAAAUUACCAAAAUGGUUUUGUGCCAUCACUUAUUACAUAAAAUUCUUACUUUUUUCUACACUGACAUUUUCUCUCACCAUUUCUUUGAAAUACUCAACUACCUUUCUUUGUUGUUGCAAGUAGAACAUGUGUAUUGAAAUACAAACUACUUCCUUCCAAAUACAAAAAACGGAAACAUUGUUUUCAAAAUGUUUGC
This is an RNA transcript of Pangasianodon hypophthalmus (striped catfish), 2810 nucleotides long. It is a transcript of the gene named protein mono-ADP-ribosyltransferase PARP4, with no coding region annotated. The record is from RefSeq and is a predicted model, not a curated record. Lineage: Eukaryota; Metazoa; Chordata; Actinopteri; Siluriformes; Pangasiidae. The transcript is spliced from 6 exons.